RNAcentral lists this ribosomal RNA (489 nucleotides) under uncultured bacterium. RNAcentral's name for it is "bacterial SSU rRNA". It matches the Rfam family "Bacterial small subunit ribosomal RNA", at positions 23 to 507 of the family's 1533-position model. The record is from RNAcentral.
CUCAGAUUAAACGCUGGCGGCAUGCCUUACACAUGCAAGUCGAACGGCAGCACGGGGGCAACCCUGGUGGCGAGUGGCGGACGGGUGAGUAAAGCAUCGGAACGUAUCCUGGAGUGGGGGAUAACGUAGCGAAAGUUACGCUAAUACCGCAUAUUCUGUGAGCAGGAAAGCAGGGGAUCGCAAGACCUUGCGCUCUGGGAGCGGCCGAUGUCGGAUUAGCUAGUUGGUGGGGUAAAGGCCUACCAAGGCGACGAUCCGUAGCGGGUCUGAGAGGAUGAUCCGCCACACUGGGACUGAGACACGGCCCAGACUCCUACGGGAGGCAGCAGUGGGGAAUUUUGGACAAUGGGCGGAAGCCUGAUCCAGCCAUGCCGCGUGAGUGAAGAAGGCCUUCGGGUUGUAAAGCUCUUUCGGCGGGGAAGAAAUUGCACGGGUUAAUACCCUGUGUAGAUGACGGUACCCGAAUAAGAAGCACCGGCUAACUACAUG